RNAcentral lists this ribosomal RNA (250 nucleotides) under uncultured prokaryote. RNAcentral describes it as "partial 16S ribosomal RNA". It matches the Rfam family "Bacterial small subunit ribosomal RNA", at positions 524 to 773 of the family's 1533-position model. The record is from RNAcentral.
UACGUAGGUGGCAAGCGUUGUCCGGAAUGACUGGGCGUAAAGGGUACGUAGGUGGCUAUUCAAGUUAGUAGUGAAAUCCCGGGGCUUAACUCCGGUGCUACUACUAAGACUGUUUAGCUUGAGUGCAGGAGGGGUAAGUGGAAUUCCUAGUGUAGCGGUGGAACGCGUAGAUAUUAGGAGGAACACCAGUGGCGAAGGCGACUUACUGUACUGUAACUGACACUGAAGUACGAAAGCGUGGGGAGCAAAC